RNAcentral lists this transfer RNA (63 nucleotides) under Sinosolenaia oleivora. Its description in RNAcentral is "tRNA-Asp". Lineage: Eukaryota; Metazoa; Mollusca; Bivalvia; Unionida; Unionidae. The record is from RNAcentral.
AAAGAAUUAGUUAAAUUAUAACCUAAGCUUGUCAAGCUUAUAUUGCCUGUGCGGUAUUCUUUU